AGGGUUCAUAAUAUAAACUCGUACGAGGGUCGCGCGACCCUUUUGGCUUUUUUUAUUAUACUUUCAACACAAUAUGCAUCAACAAAGAUAAAAAGGAAAUUAAACUUGGCAAAUUUACAUUUACUGCUGCCAUACUUCAAUCUGCAAACAUGGGAAAAAAAACAUAGCAUUUACAACGAAUGCGGUUUCAAAGCACCGUAAGUUCUUGGCGCUGGCGCAUUCUCAUUUUCGUUCUGUUGAUUCUGCUUAUAACUGCCAACGCUACAAGGAACAAAUCCCAAUGACUUUUCGUCAGGACAAGAUCUUGGCUUACAGAAAAAUGCAGCACAUUCCUCUGCUGAUCUUUGCAUUGGCAAGCCUGGAAUGCAAUUCAUCUUGAUAUCAAGUACUCUUUUCUCAAUUAACUUCUUGCAUUCCGGUCCAACUUCAUUGAAGUAAUUGUAACUCAACGUCAAAUUUUUCAAGUUACAGAGCUUGCACACUAGUUCAGGUACAGCUCCGUAGAACUGAUUUUGUGCCAAAUUAAGUAUCUCUAUCUUAGCUAAACAUCCGAAUGAAUGAGGUAUUUUUCCUGUUAGCUGAUUUUUGCUAACAUCGAAAACUGUGGCUUUACUUAAAAGCCCAAUUUCAUAAGGCAAGCAUCCUGUAAGCUGGUUGUUUAAGAACAGUACUUCACGUAAUGAUUUACAAGCUUGACCAAUGCUACGAGGAAUUGGACCGGUGAAUUUGUUGUUUGCUAAAGUUAAGUAAAGAACUGGUGUUGAUCCCAAGUUAUCAGGAAGUUUUUGGAUUAAAUUGUUGUUGUUGAUGAAUAAAACAUCGAGAUUUAACAUGAACAGUUGAGGGGAAACCAACCCGGAAAAUGAAUUGAACCUUAGGUCUAAGAAAUACAAUUUUUUGGCACCAAAAACAAUGUUAUUUGGAAAUUCACCAUUAUAUUUGUUGUUGCUAAGGUCUAACUCAUAGAGAUAACGAAGAUUCGCAAUUUUCUUGGGGAUUGUACCUUUAAAAUUGUUGGUGUUUGCGUGAAAGAUUGUUAUGUCUGGUAAUUCGUCAAUAAAGCCGUCAAUAGUAAGGUCAGGGCCAUCGAAUUUGUACUGAUUGAAGUCCACAGCAGCUAAUGCUUUAACCUUUAAGUCAGGAACCGUGGCACAACGAAAACCUUUGUACUUGUUGCAAACAUCAGAGCCAUUCCAUGUUUUUGUAAUACCUAAAGGGUCAUGUGUGAUUUUGGACUUCAGCUUUUGGAUGACAUGAUAGGCAAUCUCGACACGUUUACUUUCAAAGAGGAGUGAUGGUGGUGGAGGACAAGGAGGUUCUGGUGGCGGAGGAGGUGGUGGACAAUCUUGAUUAUCCGGUGGUGGUGGACUACCACCACCUCCGCCGAUAAUUAUCUCCAAAGCUUGUCUAGUUUGGCCAAGAGUUGGAGUAGCAAGGACUAGACAAUUUUGGAAAAAUAAUUGAAGGAUAAAAAUAAU
This 1478-nucleotide unclassified non-coding RNA is filed under the name Hevea brasiliensis (rubber tree). Lineage: Eukaryota; Viridiplantae; Streptophyta; Magnoliopsida; Malpighiales; Euphorbiaceae. The record is from RNAcentral.